UGAAGAAAAAGCAUCGGCUAACUCCGUGCCAGCAGCCGCGGUAAUACGGAGGAUGCAAGCGUUAUCCGGAAUCAUUGGGCGUAAAGGGUCCGCAGGUGGCGAAUAAAGUCUGCUGUUAAAGACCGGGGCUAAACUCCGGAAAGGCAGUGGAAACUGAUUAGCUAGAGUACGGUAGGGGUAGAGGGAAUUCCCAGUGUAGCGGUGAAAUGCGUAGAUAUUGGGAAGAACACCGGUGGCGAAAGCGCUCUACUAGGCCGAAACUGACACUGAGGGACGAAAGCUAGGGUAGCGAAAGGGAUUAGAUACCCCUGUAGUCUUAGCGGUAAACGAUGGAUACUAGGUGUAGCUUGUAUCGGCCCGAGCUGUGCCGAAGCUAACGCGAUAAGUAUCCCGCCUGGGGAGUACGCACGCAAGUGUGAAACUCAAAGGAAUUGACGGGGGCCCGCACAAGCGGUGGAGUAUGUGGUUUAAUUCGAUGCAACGCGAAGAACCUUACCAGGGCUUGACAUGUCGCGAAUCUAGCGGAAACGUUAGAGUGCCUUAGGGAAUGCGAGCACAGGUGGUGCAUGGCUGUCGUCAGCUCGUGUCGUGAGAUGUUGGGUUAAGUCCCGCAACGAGCGCAACCCUCGCCCUUAGUUGCCAAUAUUAAGUUAGGCACUCUAGGGAGACUGCCGGGGACAACUCGGAGGAAGGUGGGGAUGACGUCAAGUCAGCAUGCCCCUUACGUCCUGGGCGACACACGUACUACAAUGGUUGGGACAAAGGGCAGCAAACUCGCGAGAGUAAGCGAAUCUCAUCAAACCCAGCCACAGUUCAGAUUGCAGGCUGCAACUCGCCUGCAUGAAGUAGGAAUCGCUAGUAAUCGCAGGUCAGCAUACUGCGGUGAAUUCGUUCCCGGGCCUUGUACACACCGCCCGUCACACCAUGGAAGCUGGCUACGCCCGAAGUCGUUACCCUAACCCGGUUUUGGGAGGGGGAUGCCGAAGGUAGAGCUAGUGACUGGGGUGAAGUCGUAACAAGGUAGCCGUACCGGAAGGUGUGGCUGGAUCACCUCCUUU
RNAcentral lists this ribosomal RNA (1058 nucleotides) under uncultured cyanobacterium. RNAcentral describes it as "bacterial SSU rRNA". It matches the Rfam family "Bacterial small subunit ribosomal RNA", at positions 480 to 1533 of the family's 1533-position model. Lineage: Bacteria; Bacillati; Cyanobacteriota. The record is from RNAcentral.